Microtus oregoni (creeping vole) is the source of this 74-nucleotide non-coding RNA. The record is from the annotation of a RefSeq genome assembly. Lineage: Eukaryota; Metazoa; Chordata; Mammalia; Rodentia; Cricetidae.
GCCCUGGCUAGCUCAGUCAGUAGAGUAUGGGACUUUUAAUCCCAGGGUCAUGGGUUCUAGCCCCACGUUGGGCU